Molecule: ribosomal RNA, 276 nt
Filed under: Actinomadura sp. DC4
Lineage: Bacteria; Bacillati; Actinomycetota; Actinomycetes; Streptosporangiales; Thermomonosporaceae
Description: partial 23S ribosomal RNA
Rfam family: Bacterial large subunit ribosomal RNA
Source: RNAcentral
GUUCAAGUUUUUUAGGGCACACGGUGGAUGCCUUGGCAUCAGGAGCCGAUGAAGGACGUGGGAGCCUGCGAUAUGCCCCGGGGAGUUGGCAACCGAGCGUUGAUCCGGGGGUUUCCGAAUGGGGUAACCCAGCACUCGUCAUGGGGUGUUGCCGCCGUCUGAAUUGAUAGGGCGGUUGGUGGUAACGCGGGGAAGUGAAACAUCUCAGUACCCGCAGGAAGAGAAAACAACAGUGAUUCCCUGAGUAGUGGUGAGCGAAAGGGGAUGGGGCUAAAC